Non-coding RNA from Acanthosepion pharaonis, 110 nucleotides. NCBI's taxonomy places the organism in Eukaryota, Metazoa, Mollusca, Cephalopoda, Sepiida, Sepiidae. The record is from the annotation of a GenBank genome assembly.
GACCAUAUUAUGUUGAAACACUGGUACCCAUAUGAUCACCAAAGUUAAGCAACAUUAAGCCUGGUCAACACCUAGACGGGUGACCAUUUGGGAAUACCAGGUGCUGUAAG